AGUGGCAUAGCAUAGUGGUUAAGAAACUGGGCUUGUAACACAGAGAUUGUAGGUUCAAUUCCUGGUUAGGUCACUG
Molecule: transfer RNA, 76 nt
Filed under: Anguilla anguilla (European eel)
Lineage: Eukaryota; Metazoa; Chordata; Actinopteri; Anguilliformes; Anguillidae
Description: tRNA-OTHER
Source: RNAcentral